GUGUCAGCAGCCGCGGUAAUACGGAGAGUGCAAGCAUUAAUCGGAAUUAUUGGGCGUAAAGGGCGCGUAGGCGGGAUGAUAAGUCAGAUGUGAAAUUCUGAAGCUCAACUUCAGAGCUGCAUUUGAAACUAUAAUUCUCGAGGAUUGACGGAGAAAACGGAAUUCCACGUGUAGCGGUGAAAUGCGUAGAUAUGUGGAAGAACACCUGUGGCGAAAGCGGUUUUCUAGUUUAUACCUGACGCUGAGGCGCGAGAGCAAGGGGAGCAAACAGGAUUAGAUACCCUGGUAGUCC
RNAcentral lists this ribosomal RNA (292 nucleotides) under uncultured bacterium. RNAcentral describes it as "partial 16S ribosomal RNA". It matches the Rfam family "Bacterial small subunit ribosomal RNA", at positions 505 to 796 of the family's 1533-position model. The record is from RNAcentral.